GAACUAAUGGAUCUUCCCAACGCCGACAUCCUCGAACUGAAAGAGAUGGUGAGGGAUUUGUUCAGUGUUGUGCAAGGGCUUGCCUUGGGGCAGAAAGCCAUGGUCGAGAGAUUGGAAAAGAUUGAGAAGUGGAUGAUCAAGGAGAAAGUUUAGGGAAAAGCUCCGUCACCCGAGGUGACAAAUCCCUCUGACUCUGUAGCAAAGAAACCCUCUGGCAGUGGUCCGCUCGAGAAAGAGGUUGACUCAAGUGGUAUGCCAGCAAAGAAAGAAC
This 271-nucleotide long non-coding RNA is filed under the name Lathyrus oleraceus (garden pea). RNAcentral describes it as "Pisum sativum (pea) long non-coding RNA (PSAT_LNC041223)". The record is from RNAcentral. Lineage: Eukaryota; Viridiplantae; Streptophyta; Magnoliopsida; Fabales; Fabaceae.